Regulatory RNA element from Lonsdalea quercina, 38 nucleotides. It matches the Rfam family "JUMPstart RNA". The record is from Rfam. Lineage: Bacteria; Pseudomonadati; Pseudomonadota; Gammaproteobacteria; Enterobacterales; Pectobacteriaceae.
UAGCGGAUUGGUUGCUGCAAGCCAAGGGCGGUAGCGUA